ACACACCAAGUUUCAAAUUUGAGUAGCAAUAUGACUUUCUCAAUCUUACUUAGUCGUAGUAAUAACAAUAUAGACAAUUCAAAACAUGGAACAAUAUCAAAAUUAUAACACCUAAUUCCAUUAUAUUUUGAGUUAUGAUUUUUGAGAUACUUCCAAUCCAAACACCCUUUCAGGCUCCCACCUAACCAUUUUUCUCUAAUCUUUUGCCCUCAGUCACAUAAUUUUUUUUCCAUGUCCUAAUCCCGCCGAGCAAACAAUAGUUUUUCCCUCUCAAAUUCUCAAUCUUAGGCUCCCAGUCCCACCUAUGACCUAACCUUCUACUCUUUAAGAACACAAGCUCUUAGUCUCACACUCUCAUCAAGACUCAUCUCUGAUUCUGAGUCUCUCUCUCACAAAGAAAGACUUUCCUCUUAGUCAGUCUCCUUAUCAUCUCCGUUCUCCACCGUGGCUCUGCUGCUAUAUAGUUCUAUCUCUAGGGUAAUUUAAGAGAUUUAGCCUAGCCUAGUAAAGGACUAAAUCUCAAAGAGUUCCUAGUUUUUUAUCAUCAGAUCAAGACAUGGAACUCACAUGAUGUAGAAGGAAUGUUCAUAAUACUCUUGGUGCUAAUUGAAAAGGACACAAAGAAAUUGUAUCUCUCGCCUGCUAUUAAUCUUUACUCCAUAGUCCAUAGUUAGUCAUCCUCACUAUUUCAGGAAUAUCACCAUAUUACCAUUAAAUUAUGUCCAUAUCUUGGACUUCACAAUUCAACCAAAAAUACAAACAACUCACUGGCAACAGUACUUAACCAACUCUAAGCUAAUUCUCUCAGACUUACAACUUCUAGAGAGAGAGAGAUUGAGAGACGAUGGAGGGAAAGGUGGUGAUGAUGUGUGCUGUUAUUGGAUUCCUUGGGCUCUUAUCAGUUAUUCUUGGUUUUGUUGCUGAGUCUACAAGA
Quercus robur (English oak) is the source of this 934-nucleotide long non-coding RNA. RefSeq lists it as uncharacterized. The transcript has 3 exons. NCBI's taxonomy places the organism in Eukaryota, Viridiplantae, Streptophyta, Magnoliopsida, Fagales, Fagaceae. The record is from RefSeq and is a predicted model, not a curated record.